Tetranychus urticae (two-spotted spider mite) is the source of this 1476-nucleotide long non-coding RNA. RefSeq lists it as uncharacterized. The record is from RefSeq and is a predicted model, not a curated record. NCBI's taxonomy places the organism in Eukaryota, Metazoa, Arthropoda, Arachnida, Trombidiformes, Tetranychidae.
CUUAGUCUUUCGAUAUUCUAAAAUAGAAUAAAAAUCACAUUUCUUUUAAAGAAAUGUAGAACGAAAAAACAACCAAAUUAAAAAAAAACCAAAACGAAAAAAUAGACAAAAAAGCAAAAACAUUUUUUUCUUUUUUCAAUUUUUAAUUGUUUUUUCUUUUUACGAAAAAAAAAAACUCACAGAAACCAGAAUUAAAUUGAAUUGAAUUCAAUCAAACUAGCCAUAACUAACUCUCUGAUUUUUUUCCUAAUUUACCUGAGCGAAUAACACACAACAUCAUCAAGACCUGGACAUCAACAAGACAAUCUCUUAAAACAGGAAAAUCAUAGCAAUCCAGAAUCAAUUGGACUCCAACGCAGCUAAAUUUUGAUUUAAAUUUUUCACCAACCUGAUAUAAAACCACACUCAUAAAGACGUCUCAUCAUUUUAUUUUAAUAUAUUUACUCUCCCUUAUAAUUUAAUUUACCAAAUUUUUUUCAUUUUUCACCCUUUAAUUGUUCAAUUCAAUUCAAUUCCAGUCCUAACAAUUCUUGUAAUAUUUCAUUUUUGUAAACGGUAGCGGAAACCGUAAUUUUAUGGCACUGUACUACGAGUGCGGUGUCCGGAUUCAUUCUUCAUAUGUUCGAGUGAAUCCGUUUGGGAUUAGCGGUAUCCUUAUUCCUGUAACAAGGUGAAAUUAAUUAAUAAACCAUUGAUGAACUCCAUUGAAUUAGCCAUUGGCCAAGAUUAAUAAACUAUUACUAAUACUCUUUAAUUGAAUGGAGAGGAAAAGAUAAAAAUCAAAAUUUAACUUUCAAUGGUGACAAUCAAGUAUGUGUUAGUCUUUGUACCAAAUGAUGUUAAAGGGUAUUUAAAAUGGAAAACUAAUUAAGUGAAAUUGAUAUUGCUCGAGAUAUCCUUUUUGUCAUGAAUAGUUUAAUGUUACAACUCAAAAAAGGAAGACGUAAAGGAGUCACCAGUUGGAAUCAGCAAUCAAAAAAAUGUCACCGGUUAAACGCAUCAAAUCUAAAUAUCUAAUAAUCUGUUAGGGAGCCUAUACAAUUAGUAAUGAAGGGUAAAACAUCGAAGCAACUAAAUACUACAUUUGGAACAACACUGAAAAUCAGAUCCAAGCAUAUUGAAUAUUCAUCAAUUGCAUCUAUUAAUACAAGAGAGGAAAAUGAUAUUUUUGGGUAGAUCAUCGAUUAUUCCUGGAAAAUUCGAGUUACAUAUGUGAAUGCUUAUUCCAAUAUGGCUAAAUUUUACAAGCUAAAUGACUUAAUCAUAAAUUUAGCAAAAUUUGUAGUCAUUAGUUUACUAUUAACUAAUGUAGAAGGCCAAACUAUCUGUAUCAUAGUGUUGGUAAAAGUUCGUGUGAAGAUAAAAUUCAAAUCUUAAAUGUAACUGUAAAUCGACGAAGUUUAGAUUUUGCUAUUUUAACAUGAAAAUAACUAAAGGUUUUUGCAAAUUCUUAUGAUCAUCAUGUUUGAGUUUGAA